CUCUUAGAGCCAGCCACCAUCAUAAUCAACUACUACAAUCGCAGGAUGCUUUCCCCAGCAGCUAAUAGCGCUGUUGUCUGUGGGUAGGGGGAAAACACCACCCUAACCCUGAAGAAUGCAUGACACAGUGCUAUUACUUUGAUGUGAAUAAGUCUGGAAAAUAGUCUCUUUCUACUGUGGUUUGCUUUAUAAAAUCCUUUCCUCUGUAUUUUCCUGAAACUAUGCUUUAUUCUGACUUAUGGGUUAGAGAAUUUUAGUGUAUUACCUGACUGCUUAACCGAUGGCUCUGAUGUGGUCAGUGACCUUGAACAGGAAGAGAUGAAAAUCCUGAGGGAAGUUCUUAGAAAAUCAAAAGAGGAAUAUGACCAGGAAGAAGAAAGGAAGAGGAAAAAACAGUUAUCAGAGGCUAAAACAGAAGAGCCCACAGUGCAUUCCAGUGAAGCUGCAAUAAUGAAUAAUUCCCAAGGGGAUGGUGAACAUUUUGCACACCCACCCUCAGAAGUUAAAGUGCAUUUUGCUAAUCAGUCAAUAGAACCUUUGGGAAGAAAAGUGGAAAAAUCUGAAACUUCCUCCCUCCCACAAAAAGGCCUGAAGAUUCCUGGCUUAGAGCACGCGAGCAUUGAAGGACCAAUAGCAAAUUUAUCAGUACUUGGAACAGAAGAACUUCGCCAACGAGAACACUAUCUCAAGCAGAAGAGAGAUAAGUUGAUG
RNAcentral lists this small RNA (711 nucleotides) under Pongo abelii (Sumatran orangutan). RNAcentral describes it as "processed transcript". The record is from RNAcentral. Lineage: Eukaryota; Metazoa; Chordata; Mammalia; Primates; Hominidae.